RNAcentral lists this ribosomal RNA (477 nucleotides) under uncultured bacterium. RNAcentral's name for it is "bacterial SSU rRNA". It matches the Rfam family "Bacterial small subunit ribosomal RNA", at positions 30 to 498 of the family's 1533-position model. The record is from RNAcentral.
AUUGAACGCUGGCGGAAUGCUUUACACAUGCAAGUCGAACGGCAGCACGGGUGCUUGCACCUGGUGGCGAGUGGCGAACGGGUGAGUAAUGCAUCGGAACGUGCCUUUUAGUGGGGGAUAACUAUCCGAAAGGAUAGCUAAUACCGCAUACGUCCUACGGGAGAAAGCGGGCCUCUACACUAUGCUCGCACUCGAGGAUGAGCCCACGUCCGAUUAGCUAGUUGGUAGGGUAACGGCCUACCAAGGCCACGAUCGGUAGCUGGUCUGAGAGGAUGAUCAGCCACACUGGGACUGAGACACGGCCCAGACUCCUACGGGAGGCAGCAGUGGGGAAUAUUGGACAAUGGGCGCAAGCCUGAUCCAGCAAUGCCGCGUGUGUGAAGAAGGCCUGCGGGUUGUAAAGCACUUUCAGUGGGGAAGAACGGAUACGGGCCAAUACCCGCAUCACUGACGUUACCCACAGAAGAAGCACCGGCU